This 25-nucleotide small nuclear RNA is filed under the name Arabidopsis thaliana (thale cress). Its description in RNAcentral is "snRNA_07647". Lineage: Eukaryota; Viridiplantae; Streptophyta; Magnoliopsida; Brassicales; Brassicaceae. The record is from RNAcentral.
CUGGCUUGUGGCAGCCAAGCGUUCA